GGGGGAUAUUGCACAAUGGACGAAAGUCUGAUGGAGCAACGCCGCGUGAGCGAUGAAGGCCUUCGGGUCGUAAAGCUCUGUUGUUAGGGAAGAACAAGUAUCGGAGUAACUGCCGGUACCUUGACGGUACCUAACCAGAAAGCCACGGCUAACUACGUGCCAGCAGCCGCGGUAAUACGUAGGUGGCAAGCGUUGCCCGGAAUUAUUGGGCGUAAAGCGCGCGCGGGCGGUCCUUUAAGUCUGAUGUGAAAGCCCACGGCUCAACCGUGGAGGGUCAUUGGAAACUGGGGGACUUGAGUGCAGAAGAGGAAAGCGGAAUUCCACGUGUAGCGGUGAAAUGCGUAGAGAUGUGGAGGAACACCAGUGGCGAAGGCGGCUUUCUGGUCUGUAACUGACGCUGAGGCGCGAAAGCGUGGGGAGCAAAC
RNAcentral lists this ribosomal RNA (425 nucleotides) under uncultured bacterium. RNAcentral describes it as "bacterial SSU rRNA". It matches the Rfam family "Bacterial small subunit ribosomal RNA", at positions 356 to 773 of the family's 1533-position model. The record is from RNAcentral.